UUACCACUCUGGCCUUUUGGCUUAGAUCAAGUGUAGUAUCUGUUCUUAAUAGUUUAACCACUAUUAUGGAGGCACCGCCUCUAUUAUUGGUUAUCUAAUUUUUGCCGCCCCUGCUCCUCGGGCUCUGCUUGCAACCUGGGGACGUGAUGACCUUGCUACUGCAGUACCGGCUUGUGUCGUCGGGGGAUC
Molecule: small nuclear RNA, 189 nt
Organism: Laetiporus sulphureus 93-53
Lineage: Eukaryota; Fungi; Basidiomycota; Agaricomycetes; Polyporales; Laetiporaceae
Rfam family: U2 spliceosomal RNA
About the family: U2 is a small nuclear RNA (snRNA) component of the spliceosome (involved in pre-mRNA splicing).
Source: Rfam